GAAGAACUCACUCUCAAAUGGAUUAUGCAAAAUCCAUUGCAGUUUCCAUUUGAGGAUGACAUGGAAUGUGCUCAACAAACUGUAUCUUCAUUGGAUUGCGGCAUGUUCGUCAUGUUCUAUAUGGAUAAAAUAGCACAAGGACAGCCCAUUCCAAAAAGAGUGGACAAGAAAUUCAUGAAUGAAUAUCGAGCACAAUAUGUCACAAAACUCCUACACCACAAAAACUGUGUAAUUAAUCGUCUCUAGUGAUUUGCCUUUCGUUAACUCAAGGCAAUAUGUAUCUUAAUUCUUGUGGAUGUUUGUAAAUAUUUCUAGUUAUGGUAUAUGAGAACAUAUUUC
Molecule: long non-coding RNA, 339 nt
Organism: Prunus dulcis (almond)
Lineage: Eukaryota; Viridiplantae; Streptophyta; Magnoliopsida; Rosales; Rosaceae
Exons: 2
Source: RefSeq, a predicted model, not a curated record